GGGAACUUCCUGCCAAGCGUGAGAACGCUGCGAACUUCCCGGAGGCCAAAAGUUGAGGGGGCUGAGCGGAGCGUGAUUGGGGAGGGGCGGGCCUGGGAGACCUUGGGCGCCUCCUCUGAAAGCCUCUUGGCCUCCCUAUUUCCCACAGAGAAAACAAUAUUGAAAUUAGGCCAGUUAAUAACCCGCCAGUGGCCUCUAAGUGUUUAAGUGAAAGGAAGAUUCACACAUCUGUCACAUUAAAUAAAAAGCUAAGAAAUGGUUAGUUAAACUUAAUGAGGAAGGCAUGUCGAAAGCUGAGACUGGUCAAAAGCUGGGCCUCUUUUGAAAGUUAGCCAAGUUGUGUAGGCAAAGGAAAUGUUCUCAAAGGAAAUUAAAAGUGUUACUCCAGUGAACAUGUGAAUAAGAAAGCAAAACAACCUGUUGCUGAAAUGUAAAAAGUCUGAGUGGUCUGGAUAGAAGAUCAAACAAGCCACAACAUUCCCUUAAGCCAAACCCUAAUCCAGAGCAAGGUCCUAACUCUCUUCAAUUCUGUGGAGACUGAGAGAGGUAAGGAAGCUGUGUAAGAAAAGUUUGAAGCUCACAGAUGUUGGUUCAUGAGGUGUAGGGAAAGAAGUUAUCUCCAUAACAUAAAAGUUCAAGGUGAAGCAGCAAAUGGCUGAUGUAGAAACUGCAGUAAUUUAUUCAGAAGAUCUAGCUAAGAUAAUUGAUGGAGGUGGCUACACUAAACAGCAGGUUUUCAGUAUAGACAAAACAGCCUUAUAUUGGAAGAAGAUGCUAUCUAGGACUUUCAGAGCCAGAGAGAAGUCAAUGCCUGAUUUCAAAGAUUCAAGGACAGGCUGACUCUGCUGUUAAGGGCUAAUACUAACUGGUAACUUUAAACAGAUACGAAUGCUUAUUUACCAUUCUGUAAAUCCUAGAGCCCUUAAGAAUUAUGCUAAAUCUACUCUGCCUGUGAACUAUAAAUGGAACAACAAAGCCUAGAUGACAGCACAUCUGUUUAUAGCAUGUCUUACUGGGUGUUUUAAGCCCACUGUCGAGCCCUACUGCUCAAAGAAAAAAAAGAUUCCUUUUAAAGUUCUACUGCUCAUUGACAAUGCUCCUGGUCAUCCGAGAGCUUUGAUGAAGAUGCACGAGGAAAUUAGUAUUGUUUUCAUGCCUGCUAACACAGCAUCCAUUCUGCAGCCCAUGGAUCAAGAAGUAAUUUCAACUCACAAGUAUUAUUUAAGAAAUACAUUUCAG
Molecule: long non-coding RNA, 1239 nt
Filed under: Homo sapiens (human)
Lineage: Eukaryota; Metazoa; Chordata; Mammalia; Primates; Hominidae
Description: non-protein coding lnc-VIP-4:6
Source: RNAcentral